GAUGAACGCUGGCGGCGUGCCUAAUACAUGCAAGUCGAACGAAACUUCUUUAUCACCGAGUGCUUGCACUCACCGAUAAAGAGUUGAGUGGCGAACGGGUGAGUAACACGUGGGCAACCUGCCCAAAAGAGGGGGAUAACACUUGGAAACAGGUGCUAAUACCGCAUAACCAUAGUUACCGCAUGGUAACUAUGUAAAAGGUGGCUAUACUACCGCUUUUGGAUGGGCCCGCGGCGCAUUAGCUAGUUGGUAGGGUAAAGGCUUACCAAGGCAAUGAUGCGUAGCCAAAUUGGGGGGUUGUGCGGCCAACUUGGGACUGACACCCGGCCCAAACCCCUACGGGGGGCAGCAGGAGGGAAUUUUCCCAAAUGGGCGAAAGCCUGAUGGAGCAACGCCGGGGGGGGGAAGAAGGGCUUCGGAUCGUAAAACCCUUUUGUUGGAGAAAAAAGGGGGUGGGGGUAAUGUUUCACGUUUGGAGGGUAUUGAACCAGAAGGCCCGGGCUAACUACGU
This 511-nucleotide ribosomal RNA is filed under the name uncultured bacterium. RNAcentral's name for it is "partial 16S ribosomal RNA". It matches the Rfam family "Bacterial small subunit ribosomal RNA", at positions 28 to 506 of the family's 1533-position model. The record is from RNAcentral.